UCCUUGGUGGUCCAGUGGCUAAGGCUCCUCCCUCCCAAUGCAGGGGGCCCAGGUUCAAACCCUGGUCAAGGAA
This 73-nucleotide transfer RNA is filed under the name Bos taurus (domestic cattle). It matches the Rfam family "tRNA". Rfam says of the family: Transfer RNA (tRNA) molecules are approximately 80 nucleotides in length. Their secondary structure includes four short double-helical elements and three loops (D, anti-codon, and T loops). Further hydrogen bonds mediate the characteristic L-shaped molecular structure. tRNAs have two regions of fundamental functional importance: the anti-codon, which is responsible for specific mRNA codon recognition, and the 3' end, to which the tRNAs corresponding amino acid is attached (by aminoacyl-tRNA synthetases). tRNAs cope with the degeneracy of the genetic code in two manners: having more than one tRNA (with a specific anti-codon) for a particular amino acid; and 'wobble' base-pairing, i.e. permitting non-standard base-pairing at the 3rd anti-codon position. Lineage: Eukaryota; Metazoa; Chordata; Mammalia; Artiodactyla; Bovidae. The record is from Rfam by way of RNAcentral. RNAcentral also lists the same sequence under 5 other names.